AGAGUUUGAUCAUGGCUCAGGAUGAACGCUAGCGGCAGGCCUAACACAUGCAAGUCGAGGGAGAGGUUACCUUCGGGUAACCAAAACCGGCGCACGGGUGCGUAACGCGUAUACAAUCUGCCUUUCACAUAGGGAUAGCCCGAAGAAAUUUGGAUUAAUACCUAAUGGUAUAUAAGAGCGGCAUCGUUUUUAUAUUAAAGCUACGGUGGUGAAAGAUGAGUAUGCGUUCUAUUAGCUAGUUGGAGAGGUAACGGCUCCCCAAGGCGACGAUAGAUAGGGGUUCUGAGAGGGAUGUCCCCCACACUGGUACUGAGAUACGGACCAGACUCCUACGGGAGGCAGC
RNAcentral lists this ribosomal RNA (343 nucleotides) under uncultured bacterium. RNAcentral's name for it is "bacterial SSU rRNA". It matches the Rfam family "Bacterial small subunit ribosomal RNA", at positions 8 to 352 of the family's 1533-position model. The record is from RNAcentral.